Molecule: long non-coding RNA, 299 nt
Organism: Hippopotamus amphibius kiboko
Lineage: Eukaryota; Metazoa; Chordata; Mammalia; Artiodactyla; Hippopotamidae
Exons: 3
Source: RefSeq, a predicted model, not a curated record
AGGAUAUUUUGCUCGAGUCCAUGGCGCCAGUCAGCUUCUAAAGGCAUUUCUACGGAAGACAGAAUGUAACUGUCAAAUUCUGACCCUUGGGGCUGGGAUGGAUACCACCUUCUAGAGGUUAAAGGAUGAAGAUCUUCCACCAAGUAAAUAUUUUGAAAUUGACUUUCCAAUGAUAGUCACGCGAAAGCUGCACAGCAUCAAAUUGAAACCUCUCCUAUCAAAACCCAUUUUAGACUUACAUUCAGAGGACACACUUCAAAUGGGCAAGUAUCCUCAACCUAAGUAAUACAACCUUUUCC